This 104-nucleotide microRNA precursor is filed under the name Pristionchus pacificus. RNAcentral describes it as "microRNA ppc-mir-1 precursor". Its record names the gene ppc-mir-1. The stretch from base 14 to 95 matches the Rfam family "mir-1 microRNA precursor family". From Rfam's summary of the family: This family represents the microRNA (miRNA) mir-1 family. miRNAs are transcribed as ~70nt precursors (modelled here) and subsequently processed by the Dicer enzyme to give a ~22nt product. In this case the mature sequence comes from the 3' arm of the precursor. The record is from miRBase by way of RNAcentral. Lineage: Eukaryota; Metazoa; Nematoda; Chromadorea; Rhabditida; Neodiplogasteridae.
CUCUCACUCCUCAUUCACCGUUCCGUACUUCUUUGCAGCCCCAUACUUGCCCGCAUGAAGUGGUUAUGGAAUGUAAAGAAGUAUGUAAUGGUCGAGGCGAGAGC